This is a non-coding RNA of Cyanistes caeruleus (blue tit), 729 nucleotides long. The record is from RefSeq and is a predicted model, not a curated record. NCBI's taxonomy places the organism in Eukaryota, Metazoa, Chordata, Aves, Passeriformes, Paridae.
GAGGGGGACACAGCCUUCAUCAGAACCCGUGGGUGACACCAGGCAGGCUCCUGCACUGUGUGCUGAGGCCCAGUCCCCAUGGGAAAUCCCAUGGGACAGGCCCUGAGACAUCACUGUGGCUUCCUGGAUCCUGCUUACCAUGGACAGUGAUUUCACUCAAGUGAUUCCUGCAUUCUACAGCUGGGCAGAUUUGGCCUCUGCUGCAAGAACAAUGACACAGCAACAUGACCUGAAAGCUAAAAUAACACAGGACAGACUCUCUCCAGGACAAACCAGAGCAGCUCUAGGAUGUUGAGGAUGCUAAGCCCAUACAUAGCAGUCAAGAUGUGGCCCACCCUGAAGAAGACAACACAGAACCUCAAUAACACAGUGAGAACCUCCAGUGAGUCCGCAGCACACCAAGCAAGCAAUACCCUUCUGCUGGAAUCACCCCUAAAGGUCAUGGAAGUCCUGCAGCAGCAAAUAAAUGGGCAGAGCAGCACAAAGCUGAACAUCUGCUUGAAGGUUGAGAGUAGUGAAAUGGAGCCCCUAAUGUCUUCUGAUGGAGAAAGAACCUUUUCCUGAUUGAGAUAAAAGGGGAUCUCUGUGAGAAUGUGUAGUUGUCAUUAGGAUUAUUCCCUCCAGUUUCCAGGUUUACUUAAACCAAAUGUUCUCCAUGCAUUCUACUAUACUGCAAAAAGCAGAUGGUACAUAUGCUCAAAGAAAACCAGAUAUAAAGGGCUUGUCUAG